GUCUGGUGCCAGCAGCCGCGGUAAUUCCAGCUCCAAUAGCGUAUAUUAAAGUUGUUGCAGUUAAAAAGCUCGUAGUUGAAUUUCGGGAUCAAUACGUCGGUCGUGCUUCGGUACGUACUGGCGUCAUUGAUUUCUCCCUUCUGACGAACCAUGAUGUCAUUAACUUGGUGUCAUGGGAAAUCAGGACUGUUACUUUGAAAAAAUUAGAGUGUUUAAAGCAGGCUCACGCUUGAAUACAUUAGCAUGGAAUAAUGAAAUAGGACGUUUGAUCCUAUUUUGUUGGUUUCUAGGAUCGACGUAAUGAUUAAUAGGGAUAGUUGGGGGCAUUAGUAUUCAAUUGUCAGAGGUGAAAUUCUUGGAUUUAUUGAAGACUAACUACUGCGAAAGCAUUUGCCAAGGAUGUUUUCAU
Molecule: ribosomal RNA, 409 nt
Filed under: uncultured Glomus
Lineage: Eukaryota; Fungi; Glomeromycota; Glomeromycetes; Glomerales; Glomeraceae
Description: SSU rRNA
Rfam family: Eukaryotic small subunit ribosomal RNA
Source: RNAcentral